Molecule: long non-coding RNA, 771 nt
Filed under: Heterocephalus glaber (naked mole-rat)
Lineage: Eukaryota; Metazoa; Chordata; Mammalia; Rodentia; Bathyergidae
Description: lncRNA (ENSHGLG00000040765.1)
Source: RNAcentral
AGUUUUCAUAUGGAGCUAGAAGAAUAACAGUUUGGCUAGUCAUAUUGAUUUUCUUACUAAAAUUCUGAAUAGAAUUGUUUCAAUCAUUGAAAGGAUGAGUGGUACCUGAAGCCUGUUUUUCUUUUUUUGGUACCAGGGGUCGAACUCUGGACCUUGCUCCAUGAAGCCUGUUUUAAAUUGAACCAUCCAUAGUUCACGCAGAGAUCCCAAGUAUUGGAAGAAUGGUACAGACAGCAGCCUUCCUCAGGUUCGUAGAGGUUGGCUGGCUCUGAGGCUGGGAUGGCAAACACGCAUCGCGGAGGAAAAACAACAUUACAGUCACAAGGCACCAAAGAAGUGAAGAUGAAAGGAAAACUGCAUUUGCUGAAAAUUAAAUCAUACUUGUGUGCCCAGAGCUUCCCAUCAAUUCUUAGGUCAUUCAUUAUAUAGUCUCUAAAUAUUGUAGGUAUAUAAAGCUUUUUCAUUUUACUGCAAAUUUAGGAGUUUAUGAAUGGAGAUAGGAGUAACAAAUGGGAGAACUUUGCUUUUUUUCCUGUUUUUAUACAUUUAAAUGUGAAAAGUAGCAAAAUAUUAUAGUACAUUUGUAUUUUCUCUCUUUCUUUUGGAGGUACUCAGGGCAUUGCACUUGCUAAGCGGUGCAAGGUACUCUACCACCGAGCUACAUCUCCAAAACAAAGUUAGAAAGCACAAAUCUGAGGGAAGCUUAUGAAAUGCAGCAUUAGAAAAUUCAUAGAAUUUGCUUUAGGCAAGUCAAAGGGAAUAUACAAAAAG